Molecule: ribosomal RNA, 792 nt
Filed under: Shimia sp.
Lineage: Bacteria; Pseudomonadati; Pseudomonadota; Alphaproteobacteria; Rhodobacterales; Roseobacteraceae
Description: bacterial SSU rRNA
Rfam family: Bacterial small subunit ribosomal RNA
Source: RNAcentral
UGCUCAGAACGAACGCUGGCGGCAGGCUUAACACAUGCAAGUCGAGCGCACUCUUCGGAGUGAGCGGCGGACGGGUUAGUAACGCGUGGGAACAUACCUUUCUCUAAGGAAUAGCCUCUGGAAACGGAGAGUAAUACCUUAUACGCCCUUCGGGGGAAAGAUUUAUCGGAGAGAGAUUGGCCCGCGUUAGAUUAGAUAGUUGGUGGGGUAACGGCCUACCAAGUCUACGAUCUAUAGCUGGUUUUAGAGGAUGAUCAGCAACACUGGGACUGAGACACGGCCCAGACUCCUACGGGAGGCAGCAGUGGGGAAUCUUGGACAAUGGGCGCAAGCCUGAUCCAGCCAUGCCGCGUGAGUGAUGAAGGCCUUAGGGUCGUAAAGCUCUUUCGCCAGGGAUGAUAAUGACAGUACCUGGUAAAGAAACCCCGGCUAACUCCGUGCCAGCAGCCGCGGUAAUACGGAGGGGGUUAGCGUUGUUCGGAAUUACUGGGCGUAAAGCGUACGUAGGCGGGUUGUUAAGUUAGAGGUGAAAUCCCAGGGCUCAACCCUGGAACUGCCUUUAAUACUGGCAACCUAGAGUUCGAGAGAGGUGAGUGGAAUUCCGAGUGUAGAGGUGAAAUUCGUAGAUAUUCGGAGGAACACCAGUGGCGAAGGCGGCUCACUGGCUCGAUACUGACGCUGAGGUACGAAAGUGUGGGGAGCAAACAGGAUUAGAUACCCUGGUAGUCCACACCGUAAACGAUGAAUGCCAGUCGUCGGGUAGCAUGCUAUUCGGUGACACACCUAACGGAU